ACGGUCAGACGUGAGUGUCUCAUCCGAUUGGAAGUACCACUCUUGCUAACACCGUAUUCGAUUAGUUUAAAGCUUUUAAUCUGAUGGUUUAAUGGUUUGACAAAAAAAACUCUAAACAUAUUCUACCAGUCAUGCGCAGGGUAUUUUGAAUUAAUUUUUAAAUUUCUCAUCCAAGUGAAAUAAAGAAGGUGAAACUGGUAAAACUAGAGUACAAUCAGCUUUCUCAUAGUCCUUGUUGGACUUUGCAUCCUUGGUGUUCUAGUAGAAACUACGAAAUUACUGAGGAUUGAUUUUACCGACCGACAGAAUGGCGUUGAUUACAGCAGCAAUAGUUUUUACAUCCGCUACACUGCUGCAUCAAGUAAAAACAGGAAUUCUAUUUGGACGUUUCUUUCCUUGCCCUUCAUGAUAUAUUGCAAUUUCAUGCAUUAAGUGGACUGCAAAAAUAAAAAAACAGGUAUUUCUAGGAGAAAGUAUGUUGACAUCUUGGGCGGUUUCACGAAUCCCAUUCCCAUGUUUUCGCAUGUACAAAUAAUCAAUGGCAAAUGUGACAGAAAGCGGACUUGCGAAUCUGCUCAUCCACCCUUUUCUCUUCACUAUUCCCUAUUUUCUGCAUAAAAUUUACAUCGAUCCGUAAUCGGAACGUAUAUACCCAGUAGUAAAUACUUUCACCAAACUAGACCAGACAGAGAUACGGUCUCCCGACUUUCACAGACUAAUGGUGCUUUAUCUUAAAUCAACCAAAAUAUAAUUUCAAUUUCAAUGGGAACGCUGUUUAUUUGCCAUAAAAGGUUGUUCUCUUAAUUUCAUGCCAAAAUAGCUUCGUUAAGACCGAGCUCUCUCCAGGCCAUGCCAAUCUACUAGCUACAGCGUAUCAUUUUACCUCAAUGUUUUGGUUUGAUGUUUUUUUUAUGCAUUCUAAAUUAGCAUAAAAUAGGAAGAAAUGCAUAAUUUAAAUUGUAAUUUUUAGGGGCUGUGUAAGUGUGUAUUUAUGAUGCGCAACGAAUGACAUAUAGGUUUCCAGAACUUAAAAGUAAAUUUUUUUUGCAAGCUCACAGACAAAACGAUAAAAACACAAAAGUCCUCAUUAAAUAUGUUUUUCAUU
Molecule: long non-coding RNA, 1105 nt
Organism: Daphnia magna
Lineage: Eukaryota; Metazoa; Arthropoda; Branchiopoda; Diplostraca; Daphniidae
Exons: 2
Source: RefSeq, a predicted model, not a curated record